This 1385-nucleotide ribosomal RNA is filed under the name uncultured bacterium. Its description in RNAcentral is "bacterial SSU rRNA". It matches the Rfam family "Bacterial small subunit ribosomal RNA". The record is from RNAcentral.
AGAGUUUGAUCCUGGCUCAGGAUGAAUGCUGGCGGCGUGCUUAACACAUGCAAGUCGAGCGAAGCAUUUAAUUCGAAGUUUUCGGAUGGAGAGUUAUCUGACUGAGCGGCGGACGGGUGAGUAACGCGUGGGGAACCUGCCUCAUACAGGGGAAUAACAGUUAGAAAUGACUGCUAAUGCCGCAUAAGCGCACAGUACCGCAUGGUACAGUGUGAAAAACUCCGGUGGUAUGAGAUGGCCCCGCGUCUGAUUAGGCAGUUGGCGGGGUAACGGCCCACCAAACCGACGAUCAGUAGCCGACCUGAGAGGGUGACCGGCCACAUUGGGACUGAGACACGGCCCAAACUCCUACGGGAGGCAGCAGUGGGGGAUAUUGCACAAUGGGGGAAACCCUGAUGCAGCGACGCCGCGUGGGUGAGGAAGUAUUUCGGUAUGUAAAGCCCUAUCAGCAGGGAAGAAGAUGACAGUACCUGACUAAGAAGCCCCGGCUAACUACGUGCCAGCAGCCGCGGUAAUACGUAGGGGGCAAGCGUUAUCCGGAUUUACUGGGUGUAAAGGGAGCGCAGGUGGCAAGGCAAGCCAGAAGUGAAAACCCGGGGCUUAACCCCGCGGAUUGCUUUUGGAACUGUCUGGCUGGAGUGCAGGAGGGGCAGGCGGAAUUCCUGGUGUAGCGGUGAAAUGCGUAGAUAUCAGGAGGAACACCGGUGGCGAAGGCGGCCUGCUGGACUGUUGCUGACGCUGAGGCACGAAAGCGUGGGGAGCAAAUAGGAUUAGAUACCCUAGUAGUCCACGCCGUAAACGAUGAGGACCAAGUGUUGGGGGUGAAACCUCAGUGCUGAAGUUAACGCAGUGAGUCCUCCGCCUGGGGAGUAUGCACGCAAGUGUGAAACUCAAAGGAAUUGACGGGGGCCCGCACAAGCGGUGGAGUAUGUGGUUUAAUUCGAAGCAACGCGAAGAACCUUACCAGGCCUUGACAUGGGAUGCGAAGAUGCAGAGAUGCAUCGGAGGUCAACAUCCACACAGGUGGUGCAUGGUUGUCGUCAGCUCGUGUCGUGAGAUGUUGGGUCAAGUCCCGCAACGAGCGCAACCCUUGUGGCACGUUGCUAACAGGAAAAGCUGAGGACUCAUGCCAGACUGCCGGUGACAAACCGGAGGAAGGCGGGGAUGACGUCAAAUCAUCAUGCCCCUUAUGGCCUGGGCUACACACGUACUACAAUGGCGGCUACAAAGAGCAGCGAGACAGGGAUGUCGAGCGAAUCUCAUAAAAGCCGUCCCAGUUCGGAUUGGAGGCUGCAACCCGCCUCCAUGAAGUUGGAAUCGCUAGUAAUCGCGGAUCAGCAUGCCGCGGUGAAUACGUUCCCGGGCCUUGCACACACCGCCCGUCA